GGGUGAUUAGCUCAGCUGGGAGAGCACCUCCCUUACAAGGAGGGGGUCGGCGGUUCGAUCCCGUCAUCACCAC
This 73-nucleotide transfer RNA is filed under the name Escherichia coli P0299438.10. RNAcentral's name for it is "tRNA-Val". It matches the Rfam family "tRNA". From Rfam's summary of the family: Transfer RNA (tRNA) molecules are approximately 80 nucleotides in length. Lineage: Bacteria; Pseudomonadati; Pseudomonadota; Gammaproteobacteria; Enterobacterales; Enterobacteriaceae. The record is from RNAcentral.